GAUGAAGAACGCAGCGAAAUGCGAUAGGUAGUGUGAAUUGCAGAUGUAACGUGAAUCAUCGAAUCUUUGAACGCAAAUUGCACUCUCUGGUAUUCCGGGGAGUAUGCCUGUUUGAGGGUCGCCAAAUCAACAUCGAAAUUCAUUUGCUUUUUUUAAGUAAAUGUUUAUCGGAUUUGAGCCGUCUUUUUUUAUUUUUUUUUAAUUAAAGUGGCUUAAAAUGUAUUUUUUUUUGGUAUCGAAAAACGUUAUUUUACGAUCAAAUUGAUUAAAAAAACAAACGUUUCGAAUGCCAUCUUUUAGUGUAAUACGUUUGACUGUGAUGUUAAUCAUAGUUUUCAUUCGUAUACGAUUUUUUAAUUUUUGACCUCAAAUCAGGUAAGAACACCCGCUGAACUUAAGCAUAUCAAUAAGCGGAGGA
RNAcentral lists this unclassified non-coding RNA (418 nucleotides) under soil metagenome. RNAcentral's name for it is "partial contains 5.8S ribosomal RNA, internal transcribed spacer 2, and large subunit ribosomal RNA". The stretch from base 1 to 121 matches the Rfam family "5.8S ribosomal RNA", at positions 35 to 154 of the family's 154-position model. The record is from RNAcentral.